ACGUAGGGGGCAAGCGUUGUCCGGAUUUAUUGGGCGUAAAGAGCUCGUAGGCGGCUUGGCAAGUCGGAUGUGAAACCUCCAGGCUCAACCUGGAGUCGCCAUUCGAUACUGCCAUGGCUAGAGUUUGGUAGGGGACCACGGAAUUCCUGGUGUAGCGGUGAAAUGCGCAGAUAUCAGGAGGAACACCAGCGGCGAAGGCGGUGGUCUGGGCCAAUACUGACGCUGAGGAGCGAAAGCGUGGGGAGCGAACAGGAUUAGAUACCCUGGUAGUCCACGCCGUAAACGUUGGGCACUAGGUGUGGGGACCUAUCGACGGUUUCUGUGCCGCAGCUAACGCAUUAAGUGCCCCGCCUGGGGAGUACGGCCGCAAGGCUA
Molecule: ribosomal RNA, 375 nt
Filed under: uncultured bacterium
Lineage: Bacteria
Description: bacterial SSU rRNA
Rfam family: Bacterial small subunit ribosomal RNA
Source: RNAcentral